AGAUGGUGAACUAUGCCUGAAUAGGGCGAAGCCAGGGGAAACCCUGGUGGAAGCCCGCAGCGAUUCUGACGUGCAAAUCGAUCGUCAAAUUUGGGUAUAGGGGCGAAAGACUAAUCGAACCGUCUAGUAGCUGGUUCCCUCCGAAGUUUCCCUCAGGAUAGCUGGAGCCCGGUGCAGUUUUAUCAGGUAAAGCGAAUGAUUAGAGGUCUUGGGGUCGAAACGACCUCAACCUAUUCUCAAACUUUAAAUGGGUAAGAGGUCCGGCUUGCUCGGCUGAAGUCGGACGUGGAAUGCCGGGGCUCCUAGUGGGCCAUUUUUGGUAAGCAGAACUGGCGAUGUGGGAUGAACCGAAAGCCGGGUUAAGGUGCCCGAAUCGACGCUCAGCAGAUACCAGGAAAGGUGUUGGUAUUCUGCUGAGCGCCAUCGGGCACCUUACCCGGCUUUCGGUUCACCCACAUCGCCGUUCUGCUUACCAAAAAGGCCCACUAGGAGCCCCGGC
Molecule: ribosomal RNA, 499 nt
Filed under: Mycale grandis
Lineage: Eukaryota; Metazoa; Porifera; Demospongiae; Poecilosclerida; Mycalidae
Description: eukaryotic LSU rRNA
Rfam family: Eukaryotic large subunit ribosomal RNA
Source: RNAcentral